Peromyscus maniculatus bairdii (prairie deer mouse) is the source of this 2209-nucleotide non-coding RNA. The record is from RefSeq and is a predicted model, not a curated record. Lineage: Eukaryota; Metazoa; Chordata; Mammalia; Rodentia; Cricetidae.
UUUGGAAGGCGUAGGACUAGGAGGCGGUGACGGCGCGGUAAACAGGCUGGCGGGGAGCGUCUGCCCGGCUAGAGCGGGCGGGAGGCGAGGCCAGCGGAGGAGCUUUCCUUCUCGCCUCUGCAGCCUGCCAACCCUGAAAAACAUCAUGGCUGAUGUGAGUCGAGCUGACAAACCUCUCAAAGCAUCCUCACCAGGGAAGAUUCCCUAGAGAAAGCCUGCAGCACUUCUUGCCCAAGUUCUCUACUUGGUCACAGUGGAGAAAUUUGGAAAAUGGUGCUAACUGACCAGAAAUCUGGUGAUUUGAUUCCAUUAUAUAGCACCAUACCUACCAGCCAUUAAGAGAGGACACAAGUGAAGUCAAAUUAACUUCAGAAGAUGUGUUUGGGGAACCUCUCAACCCUGGAUGUCGUCGCCAGCUGCUCUUCACCUGAAGCGUUUUCUCAUGCACAAAACCGAGUUACCGAAUGCAGCCUUCCCGAGUGUCGGGUUAGGGUAACCGUUCACCUGUGGUAACUGUGGGUCCCAGGACUGAUGUUUCUUCCCCCCUCUCCUCCUUUCUCUUCCUCAUCAAGCCAAUCCUGAGGAUUCCGGCAACUGUUAGCUGUGCCAUAGUUCAGGCUAACCGUUUUUACGCUGUAAGCUUAUCCAUGGCAUUCCACAGUGCCGUGGCAUCCCAGCUACAAGUCAGUUACAACGCUAAACCUGUAGGAUAACCAGACGUGGCACCUGCUGAGUGGUAUGUGUAGACAGGCAAUGCGUUUAUAAAGUGAGUGAGGAAUGGAGCAGGUGUGGUGAAUCGGAAGUCUUGAUGUGGACUGAAAAUGUGUUUGCUUCUUCAGAAACCAGGGAUGUUUUCUUAUUUUCAUGUUCAACACUUUUCAUAAAAUGUAUUACCUAAAAGAGUAUGACUCCUAAUCAUAGUUCCCUGUACCAUCUCUAGAUGUUGGAUUAUGUUCCUUCACCACUGUAUAAACCUAAAUGAAAAAAAAAAAAAAAAAAGAAAGAAAAAAAAACCCUAAAUGGAAUUUACCUCCAGGUGGGCAUUCAUCAGACUUCUGUGUGGAAACCUCCUUUGUGGUAUACAACGAGUGAUAACUGGUAUAUUAAUAUCUCCUUUUAUGUCUCCUACUAGAGAGCUGGUGGCUAAUUCACUAGCUUAAGGACACUCCUCUGCAUUAGAAUUACUAAAGAGUGAAAAUAUUUGCUAAGAGUGUUAGCUGAUCUGUCCUCUGCUGUGACAUCUUUUAUGUAUGAAAUGUAAAUGCCAAAAGGAAAUCGUAGGCCUCGGCACACGGCCUUUGGGAAACCGACAGCAACCCAUGACUAAACUGAUUUGACAAUGGAUGUGUUAACAGAUUCUAAGCAGAAGUUAAUGGCUCAGCUUUCUCAGCAGAUACUCUAUUUUGAAGGAAAAGGUGCAUAGUACAACCAUGAGUCCCAAGAAAGGCAAUUGCAAUUAAUUUAAUGAUAAAUUUGCUUUUAUCAGUGACUUCUGUGGUGUUGACAGAAAUGUUGGUGGAACGCUUCUUUCUCAUCUGGAGCCCUUCUUGCACAUCUGGAACUUCAGAGUCAGUCCUGGUUAGUAACACUUUUAUGUGUAAACUCAUAGCAGUUGGGGGCUGGUAUAAUUCCUAUAGAGAAGCCUGUGCUACAUUCAUCAUUCUGAAUGAAAGCAAUGGCCAUUAACCCAUUUCCUGGUUCUUCUCUGCAUAUUCUCCAGUAAGCCAUUGGUGAGAAUUUUAGAACAGAAGGACCCUAGAUUUGGAGGUAGAGUGCCUGGAUUUGAGUACAGCCUCCAACUAGCUGUGUGGUUGCCAGUGUGUAGUGUAAUCAUCUCUCUGUCUCUUAGAUCUUUGUCUGUAAGUGGUCACCAAGUUGCCAAACAAGAUAUUAGGACAGAAUGAGGUAGCUCAUGGGGAAAGAAGCACAGAAAAUCCCCUCAAAAACAUUUGAGAAUGAGCGUUUUGAUGCAGGCCUGGAACUCCAUCACUCUGGAGGCCGAGACAGAAAGAACGAGAGAUGGAAGCCAUCCUGGGCUGCUCAGAACUUAUCUCAACAAACAAAACAAAGAAAAACAAAACAAAAACACCCUUUUAAUCUGGGGCUAUAGCGAAGAUAUAGUGUGCUUGUCAACAGGCACAAGGCCCUGGGUUUGCUCCCUAGCCAUGUAAAACAAAACAAAACAAACAAAAACUUCAGUUGAUACAUA